This is an RNA transcript of Camellia sinensis, 1321 nucleotides long. RefSeq lists it as uncharacterized. NCBI's taxonomy places the organism in Eukaryota, Viridiplantae, Streptophyta, Magnoliopsida, Ericales, Theaceae. The record is from RefSeq and is a predicted model, not a curated record.
CAAAAACCCAAUCAUAAAGAGGGAAAACUAACGAAGAGAGUGUGAAGCUUGAAGUCUCGCGCACAGCUUCUUCUUCGUCUUCGAUUUCAUGAAAUACUAGGGUUUCGAUUACUGGCUACACGAGAAUAUUUACAUAUAGAACAGAAAUCAAUCGUUUUGGCUGCGAUUUUUGUUGUUGUUCAAGUAUGGAUAAUCACACGUUAUGGGGUCAUUUGCCAUUGUUGGUGAGAGCGAACUCGAAAGAGUCAGUUGAAUACAUUCUUCAAUCCCUCUGGCGGACUCGAAAGGUCGGUCUCGACUCCGCCGACCGCGAUAUCAUCCGCGAAAUGCUCCAACUCGAUAACGAAUCCGACCUCGAUCCUCUUUUGGUAUGCCUUCGCAUGCUUAUCCGCAGGUGUGUUUAUGAGAAUAUCAAUAAAGACGAGAUUCAAAAGCUCUUUCCCAGUGAGGUCCUUCCUGAAUUACAAAGAUUAUUGACACUUCUGCUGCAAAAGUUUCAAAGGGAAUGGCGGGAAGACAUACAAAAGGACCAGGUUACCUUGCCUCGUUUAAAGGCUAUGACAUGGAAUAUGGCAAACCCAGACACAGAAUUGACAGACCCUGUUGCAGUUAUCAACCUGAAGCUUCAAAAUGACACACAGUCCAAUGCUGGAGAAAUGGAUGUGAAGUUUCAGUUGGCUAAAGAUACCUUGGAAACAAUGUUGAGGUCCAUGUACUGUAUAAGAGAUCAGUUAUCUGACAAUGGUGAACCAUCAAAUUGACAUGUAAACCAAGAGACAAAUAUAAUUUAGUUCCCAUAUGCUUAACUUGAAAGGCAUGAGACUGAGUAGUCGCAAUGAGAAAACCAGAGGAUUCAUUCAUCUUGUGUGCUCAUGCUAUAUUGCUGACGGCACAAGUUUUCACACAGCUAUUUAGAUGGAUCCUCCUCCUCCUAGUUGACUUUUUUGUGGAAGCAAAAGUUGGGUCUACCCAAAAAUAAUACAUGUCACCACAAAGAAGCUUGUCUUUUCUUCUUGACCAUUGGAUAAUAAUGAACAAUGAAAAGUAUUAAUGUACUUGUGUUUCGGCAUAUGAUUGAACCUACUUUUCAAAGAGUAGGAGCUUUCAUUCUUUAAAUUCUUAUAUUAUCCAUACUUCCCCUCCCAUCUCUAUGUUACGUUCCGGUGCUAUUUGAGCUUCAUGUGUAUCGUCUUUCUAAGUUAUUGGUUUUGAGUUGGAUAUUAUUUCUGAGGUAGUUAUAUAGAGGUAUUGUAUGGGGAAAUUUGAAAAAAAGUAUAUGUAUAUAUAUAGUAAUAAUUGAGUCAAAACUUAUUUUAUCUCA